UUAAUUGAAACCAAAGUUUAGAGGUUGUUCAUUGUUAAUGAACAUAAUGGUUAACCAGAUAACCCAAUUAAA
This 72-nucleotide transfer RNA is filed under the name Calacta lugubris. RNAcentral describes it as "tRNA-Asn". The record is from RNAcentral. Lineage: Eukaryota; Metazoa; Arthropoda; Insecta; Hemiptera; Plataspidae.